This 539-nucleotide ribosomal RNA is filed under the name uncultured bacterium. Its description in RNAcentral is "bacterial SSU rRNA". It matches the Rfam family "Bacterial small subunit ribosomal RNA", at positions 355 to 896 of the family's 1533-position model. The record is from RNAcentral.
UGAGGAAUAUUGCGCAAUGGAGGCAACUCUGACGCAGCCAUGCCGCGUGCAGGAGGACGGCCCUAUGGGUUGUAAACUGCUUUUCUUAACUAAGAAAGAUGGAUAUUUAUAUUCAUUUGACUGGUUUUGGAAUAAGCAUCGGCUAACUCCGUGCCAGCAGCCGCGGUAAUACGGAGGAUGCAAGCGUUAUCCGGAUUCACUAGGUUUAAAGGGUGCGUAGGCGGAAGGAUAAGUCAGUGGUGAAAUCUUGCGGCUUAACCGUAAAGUUGCCAUUGAUACUGUUUUUCUUGAGUGCGGUUGAGGUAGGCGGAAUGAGUAAUGUAGCGGUGAAAUGCUUAGAUAUUACUCAGAACACCGAUUGCGUAGGCAGCUUACUAAGCCAUUACUGACGCUGAUGCACGAAAGCGUGGGUAGCAAACAGGAUUAGAUACCCUGGUAGUCUACGCAGUAAACGUUGAUUACUCGUUGUUGGCAAUACAUCGUCAGCGACUGAGCAAAAGCAUUAAGUAAUCCACCUGGGGAGUACGUCAGCAAUGAUG